GUGCACUCCAUUCGGCGUCUGAGCCCCGUAUAUGAGUUAGGGUUUUCGGUUUUUUCAUUCACAACUUCAACCCUUCCUUUCAAUUUUUUUCCUACCUACCUACCAAUCAACACCUCGCUGGUUGUUGCAGUGGCGUUACACAUGGAUCGGAUUCCGAUCUACACGCCGAUGGUGCUAAUCGGAGGAUUCGAAGCCUGGUGCCACGGAUCUACCUACUGUACAGAGGUGUGGCGAUCGUGUUCGUGUUGCUCUUAAGGUCGCUUUCGGAAGAUCGUUUGUUCAACGAUCGGAGAUUGCAGCACAGAUCGAGUGAAGAAAGCGUGGCUGUGUUCUUCGCAUUCCGAUGUCGGUUCAUGUUGUGGUAUUGAAAUUAUGAUGGGGUUUUUAAUGGGGGAAAUUAUUGUGUUGCGUGGGUUUUAUGAAACAGAGAAGGUUCUGGUAAACUUUGUUAACCGACCUUUGCCAUGGCAGGUGCGCUUGCAUGGCAGGUCAAAAAUAUUAAUAAAAAAUCAAAUAAUUUUUGGUUUUGGGGGAGAUCGCACGGGAAUUCCGGGCUUCUCCCUCUGGUGUGUGUGAUGUUCUUCUUUUUUCUUUUAUUUUUCUUUUUACUUUAUUACCUAUAUAUGCUUCUGCCACUCUCCUUACCACGGAUACAUCGCAGGACUCGCGUUUGUCUUCGAUCUAACAAGGUAUUAUCUAUUACUUUCACAAUCAGGCAUAAGGGUUUUCUUUUUACCGUGCUAAUAAUAGCUAACAACGCAUGUGCAAUUGAUAACAUUAAUGGAAGCAAGUAAUUCGUAUAUGAGAAACGAUUCAAAGAAGUUUAUGUGUUCGAUGCUUUCGAUUUGGGGAAUUCGUAAUUGAAGUGGUAUUAAUUCCAAUUUUUGGGCAUGUUCUUUAUUUACAGAGAUUGUCUAAUGCUUAGUGGAUUUCUUUAAUUUGUGCAUUGAAAGAAUGUAAUAGGAUGUUUUAUGGUAUUUUCUCGACGGGAACAUUGAUCUCAAUAAUAACCUCAUUGUACAAGUUAACUUAUUUUACUUGUUAUUUAAAUUUUCCAACAUUAUUACGGAUUGGCAUUUAAUGUCGUUGAGUUAAUUAUUUUGCUUUUGUGAUAUACGAAUUGUAAUAUGUUUAUUUUGUUCGUUAUAUUAGUUUUUUUGUCCUUUAAUUUAUCAAUUAGAUUUGAUUUGGUUCUCAAUUUUUUUUUGUUUAAAUUGGUCUUCUAAUUUUUAAAAUUAGAGGAUCAAAUUGAAAAAAAAAAUAGAGGAUGAAAUUGAAUCUAAAAAAUAAAUUAGAGGAAAAAAAAUACUAAAUUAAUCUAUUUGGUUUGAUAUUUCAAAAGGUUAAAAUUGCUAAAAAUUAAUUUAGUUCUUAAAAUGUUUUUUUACUUAGACUUGGUCUGGUUCACUUGGUCUUUUAGAUGGUCUCGCCUUAUUCUUUUUACAUGGUCUUGGGUGGUUUUAGAAACACUUUUUUUCCCUUUAUAAAUAUCAAUAUUUCUGAGCCCUCAUCUUAAGAGUUCUUGCUCCCAUGUCUUUUUCCUUUUCCGAGUUCCCAAGCCAUUACUUGAAAAGUUUCCUAGUUCUGUCGCACCAACUAUUGUUGGGAAGAGAGUAUCUUGUUUACAUCUUAAGGGACUUUGGAGGGAUGUGCAUAAUAAGUUCUUGAGGAGAAUGUGAAUUCAUAUACGUAUUGAUCACAAUUCGUGUAUAAGAAGGGAUGUGCUAGUUCCCUAUGGUACAAGAGAUUCAUGAACUCCAAUCUCAAGAACUUAUGGACGUGAUGUGCUAGUCCCUAUGGUACAAGAGAUUCAUCCAACAAUGGGAGGGGCAAUAGAACUAGCAAUCUGUUAGUGAGACUAACCCAAGAAUUCACUAGGGAGGAGAAAGAAAAUGUGAGAAUCACUGGAGACCAAGUCAAAGAUAAGACUCAAUCCAAAAGAUUAAGUGAACAAGAUCAAGUCAAUGUAAAAUAUCUCUCUUGAUAAGCAAUAAGUUAAUCAAUUAAUUAAAGGUAUAUACCUUUUGAAAUAUCAAUACAAUAAAAUCUCUGUUGCUCUUUUCUAGCAUUCCAAUUUCCCAAGUAUUUUGUAGAUUUACAUAAACACUGUUAUGAAGCCUCUGCUGCCAGAAAUGCAAAGUGUAACCGUACCAUGUAUUUCAGUGAUCUUCCCCAGCUUUUCUGUAAAGAAUUACAAAGUUCAUGUCUGCAAAAGGCCAAGUUCAAGGGAAUGUUUUAUUCAUCAAUGUUGAGAAAAAAAGAACAACUAGAAGCAACAGAAAAAGAGCUCCCAAGAUUGGCAACCCUAGUACCACAACUAGAAGCAAAUUCAUAACAAGAAACACUGUUUGUUUGACUGGUGAAGGGGAGUCUCUGGCUCUUGGUUCAACUAUUGGUCCCGUAGGCGGGGAUGAUGGUAGUAAGGGCGACAGACAACGAUGCUUGAUCCCAAAAUAUCAACUAUAUUUUUCUCCUUGAUGAUGUUUCUGGAGUUCACUCCUAGAAUGAUAUCUGUGUAAUUUGGAUUCUAGGUUUUUAAGCCUUCUAUUGUUUUUAUAUAAAAGGGAAAAACAAUGUAAUUUGCUUCUAUUUUUUAAGCCUUCACUUAUCUCAUGAGAGGGGAAUGUAAUUUACUUUAACGAUGUUACAUUAAAUAUGAAUUAAACGGUAUAUCUCAGCAUAAUAUUUACAUGCA
Long non-coding RNA from Glycine soja, 2695 nucleotides. RefSeq lists it as uncharacterized. The transcript has 3 exons. The record is from RefSeq and is a predicted model, not a curated record. NCBI's taxonomy places the organism in Eukaryota, Viridiplantae, Streptophyta, Magnoliopsida, Fabales, Fabaceae.